CCUACGGGAGGCAACAGUGGGGAAUAUUGGGCAAUGGGCGCAAGCCUGACCCAGCAACGCCGCGUGAAGGAAGAAGGCUUUCGGGUUGUAAACUUCUUUUGUCAGGGACGAAGCAAGUGACGGUACCUGACGAAUAAGCCACGGCUACCUACGUGCCAGCAGCCGCGGCAUUACGUAGGCGGCAAUCGUUAUCCGGAUUUAUUGGGUGUAAAGGGCGUGUAGGCGGGAAUGCAAGUCAGAUGUGAAAACUAUGGGCUCAACCCAUAGCCUGCAUUUGAAACUGUAGUUCUUGAGUGCUGGAGAGGCAAUCGGAAUUCCGUGUGUAGCGGUGAAAUGCGUAGAUAUACGGAGGAACACCAGUGGCGAAGGCGGAUUGCUGGACAGUAACUGACGCUGAGGCGCGAAAGCGUGGGGAGCAAACAGGAUUAGAUACCCCUGUAGUC
Molecule: ribosomal RNA, 443 nt
Filed under: uncultured bacterium
Lineage: Bacteria
Description: partial 16S ribosomal RNA
Rfam family: Bacterial small subunit ribosomal RNA
Source: RNAcentral